Molecule: ribosomal RNA, 253 nt
Filed under: uncultured bacterium
Lineage: Bacteria
Description: partial 16S ribosomal RNA
Rfam family: Bacterial small subunit ribosomal RNA
Source: RNAcentral
UACAGAGGUCUCAAGCGUUGUUCGGAUUCAUUGGGCGUAAAGGGUGCGUAGGCGGCGCGGUAAGUCGGGUGUGAAAUCUUGGAGCUUAACUCCGAAACUGCAUUCGAUACUGCCGUGCUUGAGGACUGGAGAGGAGACUGGAAUUUACGGUGUAGCGGUGAAAUGCGUAGAUAUCGUAAGGAAGACCAGUAGCGAAGGCGGGUCUCUGGACAGUUCCUGACGCUGAGGCACGAAGGUCAGGGGAGCAAACGGG